This 1341-nucleotide ribosomal RNA is filed under the name Mycobacterium sp. DWMJ-850A2. RNAcentral's name for it is "bacterial SSU rRNA". It matches the Rfam family "Bacterial small subunit ribosomal RNA", at positions 81 to 1428 of the family's 1533-position model. RNAcentral also lists the same sequence under 1 other name. Lineage: Bacteria; Bacillati; Actinomycetota; Actinomycetes; Mycobacteriales; Mycobacteriaceae. The record is from RNAcentral.
UUCGGGGUACUCGAGUGGCGAACGGGUGAGUAACACGUGGGUGAUCUGCCCUGCACUGANUUGGGAUAAGCCUGGGAAACUGGGUCUAAUAGNCCGAAUAGGACCGCCGCUCUUCAUGGGGUGUGGUGGAAAGCUUUUGCGGUGUGGGAUGGGCCCGCGGCCUAUCAGCUUGUUGGUGGGGUAAUGGCCUACCAAGGCGACGACGGGUAGCCGGCCUGAGAGGGUGUCCGGCCACACUGGGACUGAGAUACGGCCCAGACUCCUACGGGAGGCAGCAGUGGGGAAUAUUGCACAAUGGGCGCAAGCCUGAUGCAGCGACGCCGCGUGAGGGAUGACGGCCUUCGGGUUGUAAACCUCUUUCAAUAGGGACGAAGCGCAAGUGACGGUACCUAUAGAAGAAGGACCGGCCAACUACGUGCCAGCAGCCGCGGUAAUACGUAGGGUCCGAGCGUUGUCCGGAAUUACUGGGCGUAAAGAGCUCGUAGGUGGUUUGUCGCGUUGUUCGUGAAAACUCACAGCUUAACUGUGGGCGUGCGGGCGAUACGGGCAGACUAGAGUACUGCAGGGGAGACUGGAAUUCCUGGUGUAGCGGUGGAAUGCGCAGAUAUCAGGAGGAACACCGGUGGCGAAGGCGGGUCUCUGGGCAGUAACUGACGCUGAGGAGCGAAAGCGUGGGGAGCGAACAGGAUUAGAUACCCUGGUAGUCCACGCCGUAAACGGUGGGUACUAGGUGUGGGUUUCCUUCCUUGGGAUCCGUGCCGUAGCUAACGCAUUAAGUACCCCGCCUGGGGAGUACGGCCGCAAGGCUAAAACUCAAAGGAAUUGACGGGGGCCCGCACAAGCGGCGGAGCAUGUGGAUUAAUUCGAUGCAACGCGAAGAACCUUACCUGGGUUUGACAUGCACAGGACGCCAGUAGAGAUAUUGGUUCCCUUGUGGCCUGUGUGCAGGUGGUGCAUGGCUGUCGUCAGCUCGUGUCGUGAGAUGUUGGGUUAAGUCCCGCAACGAGCGCAACCCUUGUCUCAUGUUGCCAGCACGUUAUGGUGGGGACUCGUGAGAGACUGCCGGGGUCAACUCGGAGGAAGGUGGGGAUGACGUCAAGUCAUCAUGCCCCUUAUGUCCAGGGCUUCACACAUGCUACAAUGGCCGGUACAAAGGGCUGCGAUGCCGUGAGGUGGAGCGAAUCCUUUCAAAGCCGGUCUCAGUUCGGAUCGGGGUCUGCAACUCGACCCCGUGAAGUCGGAGUCGCUAGUAAUCGCAGAUCAGCAACGCUGCGGUGAAUACGUUCCCGGGCCUUGUACACACCGCCCGUCACGUCAUGAAAGUCGGUAACACCCGAAGCC